AUUGAACGCUGGCGGAAUGCUUUACACAUGCAAGUCGAACGGUAGAGGGGGCAACCCCUCGAGAGUGGCGAACGGGUGAGUAAUAUAUCGGAACGUGCCCAGUCGUGGGGGAUAACGUAGCGAAAGUUACGCUAAUAACGCAUACGAUCUAAGGAUGAAAGCGGGGGAUCGCAAGAACUCGCGGGAUUGGAGCGGCCGAUAUCAGAUUAGGUAGUUGGUGGGGUAAAGGCGCACCAAGCCAACGAUCUGUAGCUGGUCUGAGAGGACGACCAGCCACACUGGAACUGAGACACGGUCCAGACUCCGACGGGAGGCAGCAGUGGGGAAUUUUGGACAAUGGACGCAAGUCUGAUCCAGCCAUUCCGCGUGCAGGAUGAAGGCCCUCGGGUUGUAAACUGCUUUUGUACGGAACGAAAAGGUCUCUCUUAAUACGGGGGGCUCAUGACGGUACCGUAAGAAUAAGCACCGGCUAACUACGUGCCAGCCGCCGCUGUAA
Molecule: ribosomal RNA, 496 nt
Filed under: uncultured bacterium
Lineage: Bacteria
Description: partial 16S ribosomal RNA
Rfam family: Bacterial small subunit ribosomal RNA
Source: RNAcentral